Molecule: long non-coding RNA, 8601 nt
Filed under: Volvox carteri
Lineage: Eukaryota; Viridiplantae; Chlorophyta; Chlorophyceae; Chlamydomonadales; Volvocaceae
Description: long non-coding RNA (VCAR_LNC003559)
Source: RNAcentral
CCCCCUUUCCCGAGGCAGUUCCCUGCUCUCCCCUGCUAGAGGGGCACCCUAAUCCGUUCACCCCAUCCGACUUCAGAUUGUAUUCGUUGGGUUCGGCAACUCACCACCAGCAUCCAACCAAAUCUAGCGGAUCAACGGCGCCUCAACUUAGUUCCUGGUCAGCUCGCAAGUUGAUAUUAUCACGUCCUACAUCGUCCAUAUGAUGGGGGGCCACCUCCCAUUUCAUCACUCCUCAAACACCCGAGAAGCCGGCAGGCGAAUUUGAACCCGGGUCGGCCGGGAGCAGAAGUCAGGCCUUAACCUCUGCCAGCCGCCUGCCUAUGUAUGUAUGUAUGUAUGUAUGUAUGUAUGUAUGUAUGUCCGUUCGUGCGCUAGCUCACCAGGUUGUCGAUAUAUGCACAUCUACAAGUAUGUGUUUAUGUAUAUUUAUUGGGAGGAGCCCACUGUAACAGCGUCACACACCACAUACAUGGUUGGUUUUUGCGACGAGCGACGAUGUGUUUCACGGUGUCGUACUCGAUUUCCUUCUUAAGCGGCCUCCAGGAAGGGGAAGGAAGGUUGUACUCCCCUAAUGUUACCCGCCGCCCCCUCUAAAUCCGUACACACCGUACACACUCUUUUACACAUACGCACCCGCGCCCAAACCGUUCCGCUUACAUACAUACAAACAUACACCCGGACAGCUGCUUGGGAGUCCUCAGACCGCGAUGGCCAUCCUGCUGUACCUGCUGUACCACUGUCCGCACUGCCUGGCGGCGGCGGCGGGGACAGGGGCCGUGACCCGUGGUUCAUCACAGUCACAAGCACGGCCACUGGCACUUGGAUGGAAAGACGUGUUCAAGGUAAGGGUAUGUGUUUGUGUGUGUGUGUGUGUGUGUCUGUAUGUAUGUCUGUAUGUGUGUGCGUGCGUGGGUGAGUUUCCGGUCUGCGUGGUGGGGUGGGGUGGGAUGGGGUGGGUGGGUGGGGUGGGGUAAGUUGUCUUCUAGGGUUUUUCUUUUUGUGUUACUGUUACCCCACCACACCACCCCCUCCCUCACCACACCAACCCGCCCCCACCACAUAACCCACCCCGCCCCCACCCCACCACCACACCCACACCUCUUUGGUCUUCACCGCCGCCGCCAGGCCCUUCGUGCCGUCAAGUGCCGUUACCCCGACGGCAACUCCCGAGUGGGGGUUUGGGACCCCGAGGAACUUGUACGGCAGUCCAGUGACGUGUCCGCCUCCACAUCCCCCUCCCCAUCCAGCCGGGGGUCGUCAAGUCCCGCAGCCUCGCAAACCUCCGCCGACCACCGCCGCCGCAGUGGCGGCGGCGGCGGUAGCCGUCACCGAUCCGCAUCCUGGCACGACGGCAGCGGCGCGCGGCGGCGUUCCCGCGGCUACCAUCGCAACCACCACCACCACCACCAUCAAAACUCGCGUCAUCGGGAUACGUACGACAAGGAUCCGUACGGGGCACGGUAUCGGGCUGGAGUUAGUAGGGGGCCGUACGGCCCCGACAUGGCGGAGGUGUACGAUCCAAGUAUCUAUGGACCUGGGUACAACCCCGUUUACGGCACGCGCGGAUCGAAGUACGGCGCGCCGUACGAUGUGCCGCCGGAGGUGGCGGCGGCGGCGCAGGCCGCGGCGAUGGCGAUGGAUCCGGCGGCAGUGGCGGAGCUGCAGCGGGUGUCUAGCUUGAAAAAGUCGUACAGUUACACGUCAGCGGCAGCAGGUUUGGUUUCGGAGGACGCCGGCGCGGCGGCGGCUGUACGGCAGCGCAUCGCGACAGACCUGCGUAUGUCGCGAGUGCGCUCCGCGCGGCAACUGAAUCUCUCCGAACUAGCGCGACGCAAGGUGCACCCUACUCGCCGUACUGUCACACUGGAGUCGUACACGGCGCCCGAUGGCCAAAAGUAUGGUUUGGAUUCUGCGACUGGUGAGUCCAUCAGACCAGAAAAGCGACAGUGUGGCUGCGGCUGCGGUAUAUAAUCCCCUCCGGAAAUCCCCUCCCCCUCCCCGCGCUUUUCCCCCGCCUUGCCCCUCUCUUCCUCUUCGUAGGACUUGUGUAUUUCCUGUCUGCCUCCCCCGAGUACCCCGAGCUGGCGGGCAAGCUGCGACCCAGCGGGGAGUUCACUCCAGGAGGGGGCUCCACGGCACCGCUGCAGGUAUACAGUUGUGUUGAUGUGUGUAUGUAUGUAUGAUGUAUUUAACCGGGCCAAACACUGCCCAGAGGCUGCUGCGCAAACCCAACGGAAAGGGCUCGUGUGUAUGUAUGAUGAUGUGCGGGGCAGGAGGGUCAUAUCUUUACCCUGCGGCCGCUACCUUCCCUGACAGGUCUCGAUCUCGGAACUUCCAGGGGCAUCGGUGUGUGCGCUACCAAUAAUACAUGACCUGCAUAACUAGAUAGUGCCAAACCUAUAUCGAAUGAUACAUGAAGUUGCGAAUUGCUAGGAUCGAACUAGCGACCUCUAGAUCUUCAGUCUAGCGCUCUCCCAACUGAGCUAAAUCCGCUUAUAUGUAUAAGAUUACAAGGUUUAUCCUGAUAUAGAACAAAAUCAGAGGAAGGGAGCACUCAGCACGGCUAGAUUUGCGUACUCCCCACCACCCCGACUCAGGCUCUAGCCAACACACGACGCAGCCACUCCUCAGCACCUCUGUCCGGGGGGAUGGCGCUGCAGUGAAGACACACCACGAAGGGCUCUCAGGUCCCGCUAAAGCGAGUCCACAAGUCUCAGCUAGGGCAAAGGCAAAAGCUCUCUGAUCCCUUCCCCCCCAAAACACAACCAGUGACAAAGGAACCCAAGGGAAGAAAAAAUGUGUGCUCGGAAUUCAGAGCACAGCGCUCGGAAUCUACCACUCAGCCUUCCCCCUCGCCCCUGCCCCCCUUCUUUGACGAAUCCAGACCGUCUUCAACAAGCUCCGUACAUUGGACGAGGCCGUACUGGUGCAGCUUUUCAAAGCGUAUGACACGUGAGUCAUGGGGAUACGGCAUUACACCCUUCCACCGCCUUAGCCACCUUUUUUAAUUUUAAACUAAACGCCCCCACCCCGCAAUUCCUCUUGUGUCCCCUUUGCCUCUCCAACGGGGCUUGUGGCCUUUGGUCCCUCACUUGUUUCUUGAUAUUGGCAGUUGCAGUUCUUUACUUUUGAAAUAUAGCUGCAUAUUAUAUCAUAUAUAAUCCUCCAAACUAUUUUUGGAGCUUCAUCUGUAUCCUAUCUGUGACUUAUUAUACCGUAUGCGCCACCAAGUAAUUAAAUCCCCUCCCCAUACGCACACUCACAUAUUUUCCCAUCCUUUUCAACAUACAUACAGACAGACAGACUCACAUACAUACAUACAGGCUUACAUACACACAUACUGACAUUCCCCUCCCCUCCGCAGUAACAACAACGGCACUCUGGAGCUGAAGGAGCUGAUGGCGUUACUGCGUGACGUCACCGGAUUGCCGUACGCGGAGGCGGGACUCGUACAGGUAUAUUUGUAUAUAUAUGUAUAUAUCUAUACAUAUAUAUAUAUAUAUAUAUAUAUAUAUAUUUGCGCAUUUGUGAGCUCGUACAUGUACGUAAAUGCACGUAGGAGACGCAGCUUAGACAUGCGUGUGCAUAUGUGUGUGUAUGCGUGUCCCUCUUUCCCCCUCCAUCUCCCGCUCUCCCCCCGCCCUAACAGGCUCUCCUCGACGUGGACCUCAGCUCCACCCUCACACUGAAGGAGUGGAUGGAGGGCAUCCGGGCCUCAACGGACUCCCUAGAUGCCGCGUCGGCCGGGCUGGCUGGGGGCGGGGGAGGGGGCGGGGGAGGGGGCGGGGGAGGGGGAGGGGGUGGCAGUAGUCGUGUGCAGCGGAACGCGCUGAUGGUCCUGGCGGCGGUCAGCAAGCAGAUCGCGGCGGACCUGGACGUGUUCUGGGCGGCAUACGCGCGAGCCGACAGAGAUGGGUGAGAAAGGGGUUUCGUGUGUGUGUGGGAGUAUCUGUAUGUGGGUCUGUGUGGAGGGGGCUGUUUGUGUAUGUGUGAGAGAGGAGGGGAGGAAGGAGAGGGGAAAAUGAGGGAGGGCGGGAGGGAGGGAGGGCGGGAGGGAGGGAGGGGGGAAUGGGAAUGGGGAGAAGGGCCCCACGACCUCCGUCCUCCUACGCCGCAUUUCUCACCGCCACAAAGCCCCCCAUACACACACGGACAUAUACACAUACAUACACACAUGCACUCGUGCCCUCCCAGCACCCCCAGCACUCCCGCCCGCUCCGCCCGCUUUUCUCUCCCUUCCUCGCACACACCCCAACCGCCAACCGCCAACCGCCAACCCCCUCCUCAGUAACGGCUACCUGGACAUCGCCGAGCUCACCCGUUUCUUCAAGGACCUGUUUCGCGACAUGCCGCCGUACGACCUCCGCCUGCUGGUGGCUCAUUGCUUCACGGCGCAGAUAGACAGAGAUGGACUUGUACGGCCUGAUGAACUGCUGCAGUACCUUCGGUACGAUACAAUGUAUAUGUGUGGUGGUUUUGGGGGUUAGGGGGAGCGUGUGUGUGUGUGUGAAGGGGUCGGGGGUGGAUUGUGCUUUAAGAGCUUAGAGUUUUCUUAUAGUGUGUUUUUGUGUGCGUGUGUGUGUAUGUAUGUGCGUUAUUAUAUUUGCCUAAACCACCUGUGUAAGAUACACGCUAGUUCAGUUUUUGUUUUUGUUUCAGUUUCUGUUCCUGGUCGCUUUCUCGGUCGGCAGCGGUCGGCAAAUCGGUUUCUACGGCUGCGGGAGGGCAUAACGGCUGCGGUCGGUAAAACCUAAAAUAAAUUCUAAGUCAAACACAGAGUUCAAGUUCAGCGCGCGGCCCUACGAGCCGCAAUAGAGGGGCUGCAAAUCACGUCUUUGGGUCAAAUUUUGGCCAUUAGGGACCCGCCGCCUUACGGGGCUUAAGUCGAAUUUCGGCUGCGGGUACUCGCAGUACCCGCCUUAUUUGCCGACCUCGGCUCGGUGCUUCGUUAAAACGUCUUCCCUCCCUUCGGUUGCCGCUUACCCCCGGGGGGCAUAUUCACAGGGCCAUUCCGUUAGAAGCCCCCAACGGUAAGCCGUACAGUGGGGGGGAAAUGGAGGGUGCAUGGGGUAAAUGAGAUGGGUGUUUAAAAGGUUUGUGUCUGUCUGCCUGAAUGUUUGUUUGUCCUCCGCAGACUCAAUCAUACCCCGGCUGUCUGUCUUUGCAAAACCCAAAUGAAAAACUGUUAUUAUUAUUAAAACCCCCGACAGUGUAUUUCAAAAUUUUACUUGAGUAAAUCCUUUUAUGAAACGAAUACGAUAAUAUAAAAACAAUUUUUUUUUAUAAAAACCCUGUUUGGACAACGAAGUAUUUCUUACGGAAAUCAAUAUGAUGCCUUCGCGGUUGUGCUACGGAUGCUCCCACUCCUCCCACUCCCCCCUUCCAACCCCCCUCAACACACACACACACACACAUUGCAUCAUAUUGCCGUAUGUCAUGUCGCCGGAUGUCCUGUUUAGGCGUCACGCACCGCCCCGGCUUCCGAGUGCCCUCCGUGGGCUCAGCCAAGGCCGGGCUGAUGGACUCCAUCCGCUCAAUAAACCCUAACGCCCGCCUCAACUACGCCAAGGGCCUUACGGUAAGCGGUAUUAAUUCUUGCGGUUCUUGCGGUAGAGGGUCUGCAUGUCUGUCUGUAUGUGUGUAAACCUGUAUGUGCGUUUGACUUGUCUUUGACCUACCUAUGAACCUCCUCCUCUUGUGGUUUGGCCUUUGGCCCCACCAUCGCCAUCUGAACCAUAAUCAUCAUCACCAUCGUUAUCCAUGAUUGUAUAUAUGUAUGUAUGUGUGUAUAUAUGGCUGUGCGAUUGCAGAUCGAGGUUCCCGACGGCUCUGCGGUGGGCAGCGGGGGCCCCGAGUCCCUAGCGGCUGGACUACCGCCAGGUACGUGCAGUUGUACGGGUGCAGUACAAUAUCCGUCAAAUCCUGGAGACUAUGGACUAGAAAUAUUGAAAUUCGAUUACAUCAUACAACCACCACCAACUCAUCAAUAUUCAAAAUAGCACUAGGGAUAUGCAACCACCUUUUUGAAAAACUGAUUGUCACUGAAGAUCUGAGUAUUGUGAAGGAUCGACCGAUGCAGGGGUCGAACCUGCGACCUGAGCCUUAGGAAAGCUCCGCUCUAUCCACUGAGCUAAACGGCCUCCCUGAUGAUGAUGUUAAAAUCCAAUCACACUCGAGGACACGAUAGAUGGUGGGAGAGCAAGUUACACCGUACAACCGACGGCGGUUUGGGCCCUUAAGUAGACCCCUCAACAUGCAGUUAGCCCAGCAUUCGUAGAGAUAGAUCAACCACCUCGACCUACUCAGCAUGCGAAACUUAGCUAAAUUAAUUAGCCAUAUUAGCAUAUUUAUUUGGCCUCCAUGGUGACAUUCCUAAUUCCCGUACGACAGCUAACCGUAGUAACCGUACGCCGUACAUUGUACUACAUCCACCGUGAGUCCAUCGGGUGUUUGAACAACUUCUUCGCAGGUCACAACUUCCUGUCAUCGCUUCACCUACAUCACCAGCAAGCCGCACCGGCCUUAGGGGCGGGGCUGAUGUACGGCGGCGGCGGCAGCGGCGGUAUCCCACUGACACCCCACAGCACCGCCUCCUUGGCGGCGCUGACGGCCGCCGCCAGCGGCGGCCUUGCCGUACCGCCAUACGUUCCUGUACCGGUGCCGGUGCCGUACAUGAUGCCGCCCACGCCGCAUGGCGGCGGCGUCAAUGCCGCUGGGGGCUCAAUGAUGGGAUACUUGCUGCCGUACCAGCAGGAUAUGUACCAGGCCCUCAUGGAUAGACUGGUAAGUUUAGCCAGCCCCGUGGGAGAGGGGGAGGAGGGGAGAAGGGGAGGGAAGGGGGAGGUAAAGGGGGGAAGGGGGAGGAGAAGAGGGGAAGGGGGAGAGGGAGAGGGGGUGGAGGACGUGGGGAAGGGGGAAGGGGGAGGAGGGGUUUAGCAGCGCCGUUCGUGGGGAGCGGGAGAUCUAAGGCGCCACCACCACCACCACCACCACCACCACAUGGCGGGUCACAGGGAUUUCUCUCUCCUCCCCCCCCCCCCGGCCGCCGUCGAUCCAUUCCGCCACAGACGACACCGCGAACCUCGUUCGCGGGGUCCAGGAGCGGGCGCCGUACAUCCAUAUCUUCCGUACAUACACCACGCAUGUCCGAGGCGGGUACGGCAUACAGCGGCGCCGGAAGUGAUGGCACUCCGUUGUCUUCAGAUCACGAGGAUGAGGCAGCGGCAGCGGCGGCGGCUCCGUCGCCGCCACCGCCGCCGCCACAGUCGUUGAGGUCUUCGUACCCAUCACCGCCGCCGCUAGACACCGCGGCGAUACCGCCGCCGCCGCCGCCGUACGUCGAGCCGCCGCCGCCGCCGUAUCCCAAUGAAGCACAGCCGCUGCCGUACGGCACGAACUAUUCACGGAGGACGAGCUACCCUGGCAGCUAUUAUGGCAGCGCGCAUGCGCCCUACCAUCCACAACAUCCCCCGCACAUGUACGACAAUCCUUCAGGACCGUACGGCGCGCAGCAGUACGGGUCAGUUUCACCGGCAACAGGCAACGGCAACGGCUUCGGUGCCGUUUCGGAGCUGGAGCGCAUUGUGACGAACGACCCAGCGGUAGGUGUCCUGUUCUGGCAAUAUGUAUUUUUCCCUUUCAUUUUAAAUGUUGCCUUUUUAGCCUCCUUGUCCUUGAAGCCCUAUGCUAAUAAAUACACGCGCACGCGCUCCUCCACAUUAAUCCAUAUCUCCCCUAAUUAUUGGGGUUUUACGGCUCUCCCCCGUCUUCCCCCCCUUCGCCCUCAAAUCCAUAUGAAAGGCUUUCCACAACAACUUCUCCGCAAGCUCCAGACGGGUUCCUAUUAGCUCAGUUGCCGCCGUACGACGGCCGUACACUGUACGGCAGCCGAGUGGUUACACGUACGUGGUUCCCCGUGCAGCGUUAGGGCAGGUGGGUACGGCAAGGGAUUUUAGGGGGAAGGGGGGAAGAUGAAGUUAGCCUUUGAGAGAGUGUAUGUAUGUUGUUACAGGGUGGUUAACUUCGCCAGCGGCCCCCUUUCCCGGGGCAGUCCCUGCUCUCCCCUGCUAGAGGGGCACCCUAAUCCGUCACCCCAUCCGACUUCAGAAUGUAUUCGUUGGGUUCGGCAACUCACCACCAGCAUCCAACCAAAUCUAGCGGAUCAACGGCGCCUCAACUUAGUUCCUGGUCAGCUCGCAAGUUGAUAUUAUCACGUCCUACACCGUCCAUAAGAUGGGGGGCCACCUCCCAUUUCAUCACUCCUCAAACACCAGAGGAGCCGGCAGGUGGAUUUGAACCCGGGUCGACUGGGUCGACUGGGAGCAGAAGUCAGGCCUUAACCUCUGCCAGCCGCCUGCCUCAAGUGUAUGUAUGUGUGUAUGGAGGGGGGCCGGAGAGAGAGGGGGAUAUGAUGGCGGUGGCUCCCGUUCCCGGGGAGGAGGAUGAAAGCUGCGAGGUCUGUACGUCUGUACGUCUGUCGCGAGCGGGCUUUGAAUACUUGCAGCGUUUGCCCCGCGACUUCCUCUGUCUUUCCGUAACUCCCUUGAUCAUUAAUAACUACCAACCAAAAAAUGUAGUUUUUAAGCCCCAAGUAACCAACCG